This 566-nucleotide ribosomal RNA is filed under the name Wickerhamiella pararugosa. RNAcentral describes it as "LSU rRNA". It matches the Rfam family "Eukaryotic large subunit ribosomal RNA", at positions 51 to 660 of the family's 3401-position model. The record is from RNAcentral. Lineage: Eukaryota; Fungi; Ascomycota; Dipodascomycetes; Dipodascales; Trichomonascaceae.
CGGAGGAAAAGAAACCAACAGGGAUUCCCUUAGUAACGGCGAGUGAACCGGGAAAAGCUCAAAUUUGAAAUCUGCCAACAGGCCGAGUUGUAAUUUGUAGAUGGCUACACUGCAUAAUAGUAGAUGCUCAAGUUCUUUGGAAAAAGACAUCAUGGAGGGUGACAAUCCCGUGAGGCAUGUUACUAGGAGCAUAUAGUGGGCUUUCUAAGAGUCGAGUUGUUUGGGAAUGCAGCUCAAAGUGCGUGGUGAAUACCAUGUAAAGCUAAAUAUGGACGAGAGACCGAUAGCGAACAAGUACUGUGAAGGAAAGAUGAAAAGCACUCCGAAAGGAGAGUGAAAUAGUACGUGAAAUUGUUAAAGUGGAAGGGCUUGAGAUCAGAAUUGGUAGUUUGGGUUCCACGUCCUCUUGGGGGCGUGUACUCCCUUUCCACCGGGCCAGCGGGAGUUUCGUCUCUUGGGUAAAAGCAGUGGAAUGUAGCAGCUUGUCUGUAUUAUAGCCUCUGUUCAUACAAGACGUCGAGACUUGAUUUGUUGGCGUAAUGAUCUCUAGCCACCCGUCUUGAAAC